Molecule: non-coding RNA, 23 nt
Filed under: Arabidopsis thaliana (thale cress)
Lineage: Eukaryota; Viridiplantae; Streptophyta; Magnoliopsida; Brassicales; Brassicaceae
Source: RNAcentral
UUAUUACCUUGUGAUGGUCGUUG